AUUUUAUAGCAUCAGCAGAUGCACCCAUCUUUUCUUAAGCAUCUUAGGAAGAAGGGAAGUCCCUGUCCCUACGUAGUAAGCUGGUUAGCUGCAGAGACUUCUCUGCUUUGAUUGGAGAGAACUGGGUCUGUGGCAGCCUAACCCUAGAGAUUGACAGUGUCUCUCCCUGUCUCCAUACAAAGAUGUGCUGAAGACGCCCCUGCCACGCUGCUUGCCCAUUACCUGCUGCUAGUGCCAGGCAGACCCUCGGGGAACCACCUAGCCUUGGCUUGUGCUUGGUGAGUUGGGAUCUGUCUGCUCAGGAUCAGAAGAGCUCAAGAAACCACUGGUAAAAAGAGCAAUAAAUUACCAGGUGCUCUACAGGGCUGGGAAUCCAACCAGCAAGGGAAAGCAAGGCUCUGUGUUGUUUUUGUUUUGUUUUGUUUUUCUCAGCUGCUUUUACACAGGACCGUAGCCACCAGUGUGAAACCAACACAGAAUGGAAAAGAUCUGGGGCAAGAGGCUAGUGCUUUGCAAAGAGGCAGAAGGGAAAGUUCAGAGGAAACACAAUCCAAAAGGUUCUAAAACGGGAUUCAUAGAAACAAACCGAUUCCAUGGUAACUCUAGGUACCAGGAAGUCAGUACCAGCAAGUCUCCCAGAAGAUACCUUGGCGGCUGAAGCCGCCACUCCCGUUCAUGAUUUUCUUUACUUUAGUGUGGUCUCCAGUCCUCCAGGGGGGAUGUGUUGCUUUUCUGGUCUGGGGCCAAAGCCUGCCUGGGGUUGGUUUUUCACUCCUGUUACACAGUCCGUCUCCCAGGCCUGAGUUUCUUAGGGAGCCGAUUGUGUUUCAGAAGGUGGGCUUGUGCUUCUCCGCUACAUCCGUGCUCCAGAGGAUUGCAGGAGGCAAGACCCAACUCAAACAUUGCCCUAAUGUUUUCUCAGCUUUGACUCAGGAGAGAACAAUUUUACACUCCAGGACGGCAACAGGCCCCUUACUUGCUCAUUCUUGCUUUGAAUGUAUUUUAAUGUCUUGAAAGUUAUGAACAAUCUUCCCAGAGUCAGGUCUUUAUUUUCGAACUCUACACUGAUCUGCAGCUGCUGUGUUUAUACAUAGUCAUAGGUUCUGCACAUUCAUAGAUUUUUAAAUGACAGAAUCCCACAUUUCCUGCUCUUCCACAUUUAAAUAUAACAUUUAUUUAGUUUUUCUUUUCCUUUUUGGGAGUCCAGAAAUGAUACACAUAAAAUCACAAAAUGGUAUAAAUCUGUACAUUAUUUGAAUUGGGUGUUGGGACUAAGGACAGGGCACAGACCACCAGAAACGGUGUCAGAGUUCAUAUCGGUAAAAGACUAGAACUGGUCCGAAAUCACUACUUUCUGUGGAACAGAAAAGCAAAGCGCUAUUCUAAUCAGCAAGUGAUGGCAUCACUGAGCUUCAACUCCACGUGUGUGACUAUAAAACACCCUGUGGCCAAGAGCAGAUUGCCACUUCCCUUUCUCUGAAUUACUGCUUUCCCCGGUCAUUAACGUAUGGCCACAGCAUCCUGGGGUACAGGCCCACAGUGCAAGGCUCUGGAACAUUUCCAUCAACAUUAUCUCAUCAGGUUGCAGAAGAGCAGCUCAGAAUUCAGAGCCCAGGCAGAAGGGUGAUCACAGCACAUCCCUAUAGAAUUUCAGUGAUCUACGCUGAAUAAAUAGUGGAAUGUAACCUGUCAAGUAGAAAUAUUGAGCAAUCAGAUGGAAUGCAGUAAUUCAGUAAUCUUGCCAGCGUCAAGCUACCAAGAUCUUAGAUGUCAGAGUUGUAACUCAGAGGGUGAACAGACAAGCACAGGCUGCUGACUUGGUGCAUCCAGACCGCUUUGCUUCUACCCAGUACAAAUAUCCUCCCUUCAACAUUCUCAGAAUAGCUCCAGUUUGAAAUAAUUAAGUGGUGGUGUUCUUUGAAUUUCUAUAACCAAAUCGAUCUUAUUUUUUGUUUGGUGUAUCAUAGAACAACUAUGUGCCAUCAUGGCUGUGUAUCGCUGUAAUUAUCCACUGAACCAUCAUGACUGUUUCCAUAUUUUUGCAUAUUGAAUAUAACUCUUAUGGUGGUAGUCUGGUGAUGGGAACUGCCCUUCCUUUACUAGCAAGACCAGUCUUAUGGUAUUGAAAGGAUUCUUUCAGUCUGAGAGUAGAGUAGUUGAACACUCCUUCAUUACUUGCUUCCUGUAAAUCAAUUCUGUAGAUGAGACCCAUUUAAUGAAUACAUUUUCCCCCCCUCCACAUUGUAGAAGGAACCACUUUAUUUGUCAUGAUCAAUAAAUGUGUGAAUUGUUCCAAACCAUUAGAAGGAAAAGGUACGGUCUUCAGUCCCUGGAAAUGUUCUGGCUGUCGUCUUCACCUGACUCACACGUGGUGUGUAUUAACUUAAGUCGAGGGGAAAUAAGAAUAAACAGCGGAAAACACUUGAUGCUUUGCGUUCGCCGAGACUUCCCUGCAUGCAGUCUGCUGGGCCCCCUUAUGAGUGGUGGUUAACAGACCUGUCACAUAGCGUUGAGAGAGAACAGUAUAUCUGUGAAUGAAGGCUAAAAUUGCAAUCCUUUACCCUUUGAGGCAUAUUUCAGUUGAAAAAAACAACAGGAAAGAAAAAUUGUCUCAGAGGGCCACCGAGCUACCGAAUCACCAGGACUCAAGCCCGUUAAAUCAUGGUUGUUUGCUGGCCAAAGGCAUGGGCUAGACAACUCUAUCCCCCGUGCUGAAGUGCAGUUGUGCUGAGAGGGAAUCGUCUCCACAUUACUGCACUGCCUCUAGUCCUUCUCUGGGUAAAGCCCUGUCAGUGUUUCCAUGAUAAACUUCUAUUCUGGAAGGUUUUUAAUUUGACCAUAAAAAUGUGCCUCAGGCUGAAGUUUGCUAGUCAGGGCCUGUGCUGAAGAGUGAGGGGGGCACAUCUCACCCUUCUCCACUCCCGAGGAAAAGUCAACACAGAGACGUCUGGUACGUUGCCUUCAUUGUGAUCCCAGAGUCUUGGAAUGCACCAAGAUCCAAGAUGGUAAUUUUAACAUAAUUAUUCAAUUAUUCAUUUGGAUAUGUUCUUUUCAAAUUGGCUCACCUAACACAUAUCAUAAAAUAAUUUUUAUUAUUUU
This 3099-nucleotide long non-coding RNA is filed under the name Mus musculus (house mouse). Its description in RNAcentral is "long non-coding RNA chr3:55534252-55537351". Lineage: Eukaryota; Metazoa; Chordata; Mammalia; Rodentia; Muridae. The record is from RNAcentral.